Molecule: transfer RNA, 71 nt
Filed under: Candidatus Woesebacteria bacterium
Lineage: Bacteria; Candidatus Woeseibacteriota
Description: tRNA-Ala
Rfam family: tRNA
About the family: Transfer RNA (tRNA) molecules are approximately 80 nucleotides in length.
Source: RNAcentral
GGGCUGUUCGUAUAGUGGUAAUACAUAGCAUUCGCAUUGCUAGAACGGGGGUCCGAUUCCCCCACAGUCCA